Pogoniulus pusillus (Red-fronted tinkerbird) is the source of this 742-nucleotide long non-coding RNA. RefSeq lists it as uncharacterized. The record is from RefSeq and is a predicted model, not a curated record. The transcript is spliced from 2 exons. Lineage: Eukaryota; Metazoa; Chordata; Aves; Piciformes; Lybiidae.
UCGUUUUAGCUACUAAAGCAGCCAGCCUGGUGUCUGGCGAAAGAAGGAAUGGAGCGAGCCUGGCAAUGAAAGGCCUGUCAAGCUCUUAGGAGACUUCAAAGGAGGACUGGCAAGAAGAGGCAAUGCAUAAUCCAUGGAGAGGAAGGAGUGAUGGGAGGAUGGGAGGAAGAGCCUUUGAUAGAAGCUCUUGCUGCAGCACCUGAGAUCCUACAUAAUCCCUGGGCAAAGCAUCCAGAAGAAGCCAGCAGCACCAAAGGCAGAGAUUGCAUCCUUUGCCAGGAGAACAAGGUCAGAGACCACUAUUUCCCCAGAAACUGGGAAGAUUCAUCCUUUCCCUUCAAGCCAGGAGGAUUCCAGCCUCAAAGUCCAUGAGCAGAGAUCCCCUGAAGUCUGGACAUUAGGCAUAGGCUAUGAUGUAGCCCCAGAGGGUGAUUAUUGAUUAAUAAGAGUUGUGAGUAAAAGCUUUCAUACCUCUGUAAUAUCUGUUGCCUCUGCCAGAGAGCAGAAUCAGCUCCAGCCUGCUCUGCUGGGCAAACAGCAUAGAGACCCCAAACGGCGUUUGCCACGGGGAAAACUCCUCUCUCUGUUUCUAGUUUGAAUGUUUGCUACCUAUUAAUAAGUUCCUGUACAUAUUUUAUCCUAGAAUGUUUCCAUAACCAUGUAAAGAAUCCUUUAAUAUUAAUAUACAGUGGUUGGGGGUGGCAGAGUCCAGAAUAUUGAGUUUAAUAAAUCUAUAUUUUUA